This 510-nucleotide ribosomal RNA is filed under the name Acinetobacter sp. SF4. RNAcentral describes it as "bacterial SSU rRNA". It matches the Rfam family "Bacterial small subunit ribosomal RNA", at positions 78 to 584 of the family's 1533-position model. Lineage: Bacteria; Pseudomonadati; Pseudomonadota; Gammaproteobacteria; Moraxellales; Moraxellaceae. The record is from RNAcentral.
GCUUGCUACCUGACCUAGCGGCGGACGGGUGAGUAAUGCUUAGGAAUCUGCCUAUUAGUGGGGGACAACAUUCCGAAAGGAAUGCUAAUACCGCAUACGCCUACGGGGGAAAGCAGGGGAUCUUCGGACCUUGCGCAUAAUAGAUGAGCCUAAGUCAGAUUAGCUAGUUGGUGGGGUAAAGGCCUACCAAGGCGACGAUCUGUAGCGGGUCUGAGAGGAUGAUCCGCCACACUAGGACUGAGACACGGCCAAGACUCCUACAGGAGGCAGCAGUGGGGAAUAUUGGACAAUGGGCGAAASCUGAUCCAGCCAUGCCGCGUGUGUGAAGAAGGCCUUUUGGUUGUAAAGCACUUUAAGCGAGGAGGAGGCUACUUAGAUUAAUACUCUAGGAUAGUGGACGUUACUCGCAGAAUAAGCACCGGCUAACUCUGUGCCAGCAGCCGCGGUAAUACAGAGGGUGCGAGCGUUAAUCGGAUUUACUGGGCGUAAAGCGUGCGUAGGCGGCUUUUU